AAUGUAAAAUCACAAGGCGUCGGAUUCGGAUCUUUUUAACCCUAAAUCAAUGUCAGCAAUGAAGAAUAAGAGACAGGCCUUCUCUACUGGGCAUGAUUGCAUCGCUUCACUGCUGCGAAGAUCAUGAUCAUGAGCGUCGCAACUGUAUAGGAGCAUUACGUUCCCAAGUCCAGUGCAUGCAAUUAUGGAAGUAGCUAGCUAGCAUAACAUCGCCACAAAAGCAGCACUCUCUAUAUUUGUAAAAGCACAGGGAUGGACAUCCUACGCCAUUGAAAAUACACAAACGAAUAAAACUGGUUGUUCGUCAUAAACAUAAUAAACCCUCCAGAUUCCGAAUCCCAGGUACAGAGCUGAUAUACAAUAUAGGUCCUCUACCAUUAAGGCGAACCGCAACAUGUGGAGAGGUAUCACAUCUGGGUCGUGGCAUUGGGAGCGUUCGGUUUUCUUGUCCUAUCUUCCUUAGCCCACGACGUCCUCGUUGUCACCCAAGAAAUCAUCGAUCAGGAAGUCGGCCGGCACAGAGGAGCUCUUGUUCAGUUUUACGCCCCUUGAUACAUCCAACAUUUUUGCUUCAUUAUGAUGUAAAAUCUCUGGGGUGAUCUUUCCUGUGUUUCAACGGUGUGAUCUCUGUAAAAAGUUUGCCCUUUGGAGUAUGAAAAGUUAGGUACCAGCUUCAAGAAAGCCAGGUCUGUUCUAAUCGGAAAGGUUAUAUAGCACUCUGGUGUUGUUCUGCCCUUCACGCCUUUUGAAUGCUGCAUGCAUCGCCCAUGUUCAUCUUUGUGAUUGUUGGCAUAUUUUAGCUGUAAUUUUCCGCUAAAUAAAUAUUUAAACCUAAAAUAAAUUAUCUGCAACAAACUUGAGAAUAUCUUCAGAAGGAAUUGCUUUCUUACAAAAUAAUUUACAGUUAAUAACAUUUGACAAUUAUGUUGCUUCAUGGGGAUAUCCUUAACCACUGGAUAAAUUUUAGCACUUUUGUUUUCUUUCUUUCUUUUUCCUUUUCUUUUAAAUAUUGAGAAUCCAUUGGGGUUACUUGUGCUGCGGGUGGAAUGUGAUCAACACUAGAGUUUGUGCCAAAAAUAUGGCGUUUCUAGAUGCCCAACAAUUCAAUGGUUUCCCCUAGAAUCUGUGGAACCCAAAAGGUGAGUAGAAAGUUCAGCCAAUCAAAGGAUAAUUUGAUUAAGUUUUAUAUCUGAUUGCCUAGUUUCUUACUUAAUUUGCUUUCCACUUUUCCUCCCACCCCUUUUCACUUUGUGACCCAUUUUGGAAAAUUUUUGAAGGUAUGAAGGGCCAUGGACCGCAGAAUCUCUUGCUGAGUUUGUAAAUAAAGAGGGAGGUACUGGCUGACACUUUUGAAGCCGUGUGGCGUGCCUUAAUGUCUAAUUAUAUCAGAAAUUUGUGUAAUUUCCAAGGAAAUAUAGUUCAGUAAUUACACAGAAUCAUAUUCUCAAGGAGCCAACUUGCAACUGUAAAUCUUUAAAUUUUAAUUGACAGUGAAAGUUCACAACGCCACAUAAGUAGAUUCCGUGAAUUUUAAACAUUGAAAAGUGAAAACUGCACAAUAUUGUUUGGUCUUAGCUAGCACUCACCUUACCUGGUGAGUGGGGUGGAGAUACCUGACCAGAGGAUUGGCAUAAAAGCAGGAACCAAGGUGAAGAUUACUACAGACUCCGUCCAAGGUAGUGGUACUGACUCCCAACAACUUUGAUGAGGUCGUCUUGGAUGAGAACAAAGACGUCUUGGUUAAGUUUUAUGCACCACGUACUCACAAUUUCUUUUUGGUUUCUUAUGGUUAUUAUUUCUCCUUAUCUUUAAUUCACACAGUUUUUGGGUUGGUCCCAAUUUCAAAAGGCAAAGGCUAUGUCUUGUUUUCAAUUUCCUUCCUAUGUUAUCAUGCGAUUUUGAGUCAUCUCCAUCAAUCAGUUUCAGAUCUUACAAGUUUUUCUGAUUUUUCCAGGUGCAGACAUUGCAGAGAACUUGCUUCUACUUAUGAGACGGUGGCUGCGGCAUUUAAAAUGGAGGAAGGGCGGUGAUCGCAAAUCUGGAUGCUGACAAGUAUAAGGAUCUUGGGUCGAAGUAUGAUGUUAAAAGCAUUUCCAGCAUUGAAGUUCUUUCCAAAGAGCAAGAAAGCCGGUGAAGUUUAUGGGGGAGGUAGAGACUUGGAUGAAAUCGUAGCUUUCAUCAAUGAUAAAUGUGGCACAAGUAGAGACCGAGAUGGACAGCUCACGUCAAAAGUUGGUAUAGUUGAAAGCUUGGAUGCCUUGGAAAUGGAGUUUGUAGGUGCAAAUUAAGAAGAGAAGAAGGCCAUAGUUGCCCGAAGGGAAGAGGAAGUAGGGAAGCUUAAGGGGCCUGCUCUAGGUUGUACGGGAAGAUUUACUUGAAAGCUGCCAGGAAUUGCAUGGAGAAAGAGUCUGAUUACGCCAAGGACGAAAUCCAGCGCCUGCAUCGCAUGCUUGGCAAGGCAAGGUCGGGUGAGUGAUAAUUUGGGCGGUUAAGUGGGAAGAGCUGUACUGGGGAAAGUCUUUUUCCAUUGCGUGAAUGAAAAGGCGGUUAAGUGGGAAGAGCUGUAGUGGGGAAAGUCUUUUUCCAUUGCGUGAAUGAAAAGACAGAUAUUGUUGAUUAUUCAUUCUGAGGUGGGUUUUGAUUGGUGCGGCCUGUGAGGCCAGCGAAGGCAGACGAGUUUGCUAUAAAGAAAAAUAUAUUGCGGACAUUGGAGUGACAGCAGAGUGGGAUCCACCGACAGAAUUGAAUUUUUUUGGAAGAUUUUGAGGUGUUGAACGUACACAUUGCCACGCCAGCAAGUCGCUUUCUCUGACGUUGAUAAUUUAUCAACACCUUGUGCUGUUGUGCAUCGAUCUGCACAGUACUGCUACAUGUUAAAUGCCCGUUUUGAAGAAUACGCUCGGCUUCAGGGAAGCGGAACAUCUGGGUAUGGUUUGCAGUCUGAUGAAUUUGUUUUGGGAAGGGUACAUCACGACCCUUCACCACAUGCCAAUGAACGAGUGCAGAGCACCACUUGCUUGCCUCCUCGUUUUGUCUAUUCUUCAACUUGUCUCCCUGCUUUAAAUUAGUUGUGACAGGAUUCUGGGUCAACGAAAAAUAAACCAUACUGUUUUUUCGCUUUCAAAAUGGAAUCAUCUAGUCAUUGAAGUUGAUGGUUGAUGUUGGCCAUCACCUGUCAUCGUGUAAUGUGUACUCUUUUUAUAAAUUAUUUUUAUCAAUCUUA
This is a long non-coding RNA of Prosopis cineraria, 3223 nucleotides long. RefSeq lists it as uncharacterized. Lineage: Eukaryota; Viridiplantae; Streptophyta; Magnoliopsida; Fabales; Fabaceae. The record is from RefSeq and is a predicted model, not a curated record. The transcript has 7 exons.